This 236-nucleotide ribosomal RNA is filed under the name uncultured bacterium. RNAcentral's name for it is "partial 16S ribosomal RNA". It matches the Rfam family "Bacterial small subunit ribosomal RNA", at positions 524 to 761 of the family's 1533-position model. The record is from RNAcentral.
UACGAAGGGGGCUAGCGUUGUUCGGAAUUACUGGGCGUAAAGCGCACGUAGGCGGAUAUUUAAGUCAGGGGUGAAUCCCAGAGCUCAACUCUGGAACUGCCUUUGAUACUGGGUAUCUUGAGUAUGGAAGAGGUAAGUGGAAUUGCGAGUGUAGAGGUGAAAUUCGUAGAUAUCGCAGGAACACCAGUGGCGAAGGCGGCUUACUGGUCCAUUACUGACGCUGAGGUGCGAAAGCG